ACACUCCUACGGGAGGCAGCAGUGGGGAAUAUUGGACAAUGGGCGCAAGCCUGAUCCAGCCAUGCCGCGUGAGUGAUGAAGGCCCUAGGGUUGUAAAGCUCUUUCACCGGUGAAGAUAAUGACGGUAACCGGAGAAGAAGCCCCGGCUAACUUCGUGCCAGCAGCCGCGGUAAUACGAAGGGGGCUAGCGUUGUUCGGAUUUACUGGGCGUAAAGCGCACGUAGGCGGACUAUUAAGUCAGGGGUGAAAUCCCGGGGCUCAACCCCGGAACUGCCUUUGAUACUGGUAGUCUUGAGUUCGAGAGAGGUGAGUGGAAUUCCGAGUGUAGAGGUGAAAUUCGUAGAUAUUCGGAGGAACACCAGUGGCGAAGGCGGCUCACUAGCUCGAUACUGACGCUGAGGUGCGAAAGCGUGGGGAGCAAACAGGAUUAGAUACCCCAGUAGUCCCAUG
RNAcentral lists this ribosomal RNA (450 nucleotides) under uncultured organism. Its description in RNAcentral is "partial 16S ribosomal RNA". It matches the Rfam family "Bacterial small subunit ribosomal RNA", at positions 333 to 799 of the family's 1533-position model. The record is from RNAcentral.